RNAcentral lists this long non-coding RNA (1106 nucleotides) under Ananas comosus (pineapple). RNAcentral's name for it is "long non-coding RNA (ACOM_LNC025935)". The record is from RNAcentral. Lineage: Eukaryota; Viridiplantae; Streptophyta; Magnoliopsida; Poales; Bromeliaceae.
CGAAUACGAACAGUCUCGUUAACUGUUGCACGCUAGGCAUCGUGAACACUGACGCGAGACACGAUAUUAACACUACUAAUAAAAUAUAAUAUUAUUAAUAUGAUAAUAUGAUAAUACAGUAGGAUUACUAUACUCUUAUAAAUAUUGAGCCUUUCGUACUCAUAAGUUAUUUUGAUGAUAGAGCUGCCGAAUCGACGAUCCACUCCAUUAAAUAUGAUCUAGAGUAUUUGAAACUUCUAAAAAAUAAAUUUCGUAAUUUUUCGAAAUAAUAAUAAAGUCCAUCAAGCGGGCAUAAAAUGAACGGUCAAAAUCGAACGACGUCCUCAAAAUGGAUGGUCGGAUCAUUCAAUUUAAGAUCAGAGUUAUUAAUCUUUAUUUAGAAAGUGAAUAGAAUUUUCAAUCAAAACUUCAACUGAUUCCGAUUCUUUUACACCGUUAAAUUAACAAGUAUUCCAUACCGACCGUUAAAAAUUGGUAAUUUUAUAACCUUUUGAUCAUAAGGUAAAUAAUGUCGAAAAAUUUUGAAAUUUGAUUUCUACAAGUUUUAAAUGCUCGAGAUAAUGUUUAACGGUUUAGAUCGUCGAUUCAGAAGCUCCAUCAUCGAAAACAACUUAUGAGUACGAGGACGAUCGUACUCAUAAGACUAUAGUAGCCGGACUCUAUGAUAAUAUAUUUUUAUGAUAUAUAAAAUAUUAAUUUUGGUAAAAUAUUAUUAUAUUUCUAAUACAAAUGAAAGAUAGUGAAAUUUUUAUUAAUAAUUUAUAUAUUUAAAAGAAAAUUCUCAACCACACAUAAUUUAUUUAUAUUGUCAAAAAAAUUAUAUACAUUUAUUAAAAAGUUAAAAUAUUUAUUAUCUUUAUAUUAUAUAUGCAUAGAAAAAAUAAAAUAAGAAAUAGGUUUAAUUUUCUUUUUAGUUGUAUGCGUUAUGAAUCUGCACUAAACGCGCGUUCAAAGAGUGUCCAUAUCAAACACGUGUCUGACACGGACACGCACGUACUCGAUAUGGACAUGCGAGGUUUAUAAAAGUGUCCGUGAUACGUAGGUUGCACCUAUGCGUAUGCAUGAUUAGUAGCGGCCCCACGCUAGUGGCUGCACGAAUCUUGAUG